RNAcentral lists this ribosomal RNA (406 nucleotides) under uncultured bacterium. RNAcentral describes it as "partial 16S ribosomal RNA". It matches the Rfam family "Bacterial small subunit ribosomal RNA", at positions 28 to 526 of the family's 1533-position model. The record is from RNAcentral.
GACGAACGCUGGCGGCGUGCUUAACACAUGCAAGUCGAACGAGUGGCGAACGGGUGAGUAACGCAUCGGAACGUACCGAGUAAUGGGGGAUAACUGUCCGAAAGGACAGCUAAUACCGCAUAUUAUUCGAGCGGCCGAUGUCUGAUGAGCUGGUUGGCGGGGUAAAGGCCCACCAAGGCGACGAUCAGUAGCGGGUCUGAGAGGAUGAUCCGCCACACUGGGACUGAGACACGGCCCAGACUCCUACGGGAGGCAGCAGUGGGGAAUUUUGGACAAUGGGCGCAAGCCUGAUCCAGCCAUGCCGCGUGUCUGAAGAAGGCCUUCGGGUUGUAAAGCACUUUAAGUUGGGAGGCGUUACCAACAGAAUAAGCACCGGCUAACUUCGUGCCAGCCGCCGCGGUAAUAC